AAAGUGCGAUAAGUAAUGUGAAUUGCGGAAUUCGUGAAUCAUCAAGUUUUUGAACGCAUAUGGCACCAAUUUUAACAUUGGUACAUCUGUUUGAGUGUUGGUUCAUUUCUUUCUUUUUCAUUUUAAUGAUUUUGAAGAUAUGUUUGACUUUUUCUAUUUUGAUAGUCAUAUUUAAUCGAUUAUUAUAAUUAUUAUCAUCAUAAUUCUAAUUUAUUUUAAAUUAUUAGAUAAAUGUUGAUUUUAAAUUUAAUAACCAAUUAUAAUUGAUGAUCAACCUCAAAUCAGAUGAGAUUACCCGCUGAAUUUAA
RNAcentral lists this unclassified non-coding RNA (308 nucleotides) under uncultured Amanita. Its description in RNAcentral is "sequence contains ITS1". The stretch from base 1 to 100 matches the Rfam family "5.8S ribosomal RNA", at positions 50 to 154 of the family's 154-position model. The record is from RNAcentral. Lineage: Eukaryota; Fungi; Basidiomycota; Agaricomycetes; Agaricales; Amanitaceae.